CACCAGACUCCUACGGGAGGCAGCAGUGAGGAAUAUUGGUCAAUGGCCGAGAGGCUGAACCAGCCAAGUCGCGUGAGGGAAGACGGCCCUACGGGUUGUAAACCUCUUUUGUCGGGGAGCAAAGCGAACCACGUGUGGUUCAUUGAGAGUACCCGAAGAAAAAGCAUCGGCUAACUCCGUGCCAGCAGCCGCGGUAAUACGGAGGAUGCGAGCGUUAUCCGGAUUUAUUGGGUUUAAAGGGUGCGCAGGCGGAGGUGCAAGUCAGCGGUCAAAUUGCGGGGCUCAACCCCGUACUGCCGUUGAAACUGGCAGUCUCGAGUUGGAGAGAAGUAUGCGGAAUGCGCGGUGUAGCGGUGAAAUGCAUAGAUAUCACGCAGAACUCCGAUUGCGAAGGCAGCAUACCGGCGCUCAACUGACGCUCAUGCACGAAAGCGUGGGUAUCGAACAGGAUUAGAUACCCGAGUAC
Molecule: ribosomal RNA, 466 nt
Filed under: uncultured bacterium
Lineage: Bacteria
Description: bacterial SSU rRNA
Rfam family: Bacterial small subunit ribosomal RNA
Source: RNAcentral